This is a long non-coding RNA of Anolis carolinensis (green anole), 2683 nucleotides long. RefSeq lists it as uncharacterized. The transcript has 7 exons. Lineage: Eukaryota; Metazoa; Chordata; Lepidosauria; Squamata; Anolidae. The record is from RefSeq and is a predicted model, not a curated record.
AAUUGCAUACAAAAAGUAACAUAUUAAGGAAUAUAUUGUUAGCCAAGUGUGCAUAUAUUGGGGAGGGAGGGACAUACAAAAUGCUUGAUCAGGAAAAAUUCUUCUGUGGACUUUUUAGUUCCAAAAUUGCAAACUCACCUGUCAAUGGGUGGAACAGACUCAUGUUUCCAUAACUUGAAACCGUUAUGAAACAUAAACAGAGCAUCUCCCUCCUCUUAAAUUAUUCCUUUUGCCUCAGUGUGACCUAAAAUAGAGCUAUGGUUAGUGCUCUAUUGGUGUUCCCCUACAUAAGUAGUCAAAAAUUUUGUCAACAUUCAGUUCAGGUUUGCAGAAGUAGAGGUGCUUAUGCAGUGCCAUUCAUAAGCAGAACAUGUGCAUCACAUGUCAUGUAUGGAUGAGCCAUGCACAUUGGUCACAUUCUGUCUUGAUCUAGUUGUCAAAUAUUUCCACUCAGCAAAAGGAUCACGUAGCACAAUAAUAUGCAACGAUCUCAACCACUAUGUAAACACAGAUCCUACAUAUUGCUUGUGUAGUGUAAAUCUACAUGACUGUCAUUAAGUUGUGGUUGCACUACACCUAUCUUUCUGCUAAAUACCAACAUUGUACAACCAACUGCAUAUCUGUGAACCUGCCUGCUGUUUUCACAAUGCCAGUGAAUCAAGUGGUACCCUGAGAGCAGCAAUGAAUAGUUUAUACACCAUCCAAUAAUGUACAAUUGCAUGUGAAAUAGCUGCAUUACCGAACUCCAUUUCUGAAACUGUGAACUGAAUAUAAACCUUAAGCAGUGGCCAAAAGUAUGCACAACCACAUACAUAAGGGAACCUACCUGUGUGUGAAGUAUCAACAAAAUGUCAAUCUUUUUUCUUUGGCUGGGGCUGGAACUGUCCAUGCCUUUUGAAAAUAAAACAAACAUUUCACUCUUCUGCAUUCCAUUUCAAACAAGCAAUCUGUCUGUUUCAGAGUCUUUUGCAAUCAAGAGAACAGUUUACAGCAAUCAAUAAUGUAACUUUCCUCCACCAUUCUUUCUUUUUCAGCAGUAUCAUUAUCGUUUCCUCUUUUAAGUGAAGGAAAUGAAUGUGAAAUCAGCACACACCAUUCCCCCAUUUCCAAACUCAUCUCUGUUUCUGGUUAAGGGCUUGCGUAGUAUGAUGAGUUCAUUAGUUUGCUGGGGUGCGUCUUCUCACUUGCAUUAAAGCACAAGAGGUCUUUUUGAGUUAACGAUAAUUAGAUGAGGUCAUUAAAUCUAGAAUGAGAUCACUACCGGCAGAAUUAGCCUCACAUUGUACAACAUAAGGUCAAAUCAGCCAUAACUAUUACUCAUACCAGUUGUCUCACCACUUUCAUAUCUUCCAUUACAGUGGUGGAUGAUCCACACUUUAAUUUGAACAAGAUGCUCUGGAUGCUGUCAUGGUCCAAAUGAUGGGUGAGAUAAAGAUGAAGACUACUUUUGCCUACUUAACUUUUCAAGGUGUUAAAAAUUGGGAGACUGAAGGAAAAUGUCAUUACAGAAGAGAAUUCCAGUUUGGUGGCAUUUUCUUUUGAAUGCAACAUAAAAAGGAAUCCUUGCUGGUUGCAGAAUCAGAGGUGUCCAGAGAACUGAAUUAGAAAAUUAAGAGAACUGUGACUGCUGAGUUUGGAUUCGCUCGUUGAUUUAGAGAGCUGUGUUUGGGCAGAGAGAUUUCCAUUAAAAAGUAAACUAAAAUGAAUCAAAAGACAUGCACAUACACAUAGCCCAUUUUACAGUUGUAUCAAGAAGCAUGAAUAAUAUUGAAAAUGUAAUGAGGAUUGCAUUUACAAGAGGCAUCUAGUGUUUUUUAACUGCUUUAAGUCUGGACCACCCCUUCUUUCAGAAUUGCCAAAGGAAAUCCCAAGAUUGUCAGACAUAUGAGAAUAGUCACCAUGUGAAGAUAACCAGAGACAGGGAGAAGAAACACUCAAUGCUGAAUUAUGGAGAGACACGCUGUCACCUUCUGUUUCUCUCAGCUUCCCAAGACAACAUUGCAGCAGAAAAGAUGUUCCCACCAUUUCUAAAGUGAGAAUUAUGAAAAUCACUACCUUCUAUAAGCUUCUGGUUGUUGACCACUGCAGAAGUAAUACAAAAGAGGACCAGAUCUCCUUUCAAUAGUACUUUGCAUAGAUCUACAGAAAUGAAGAAAUCUGAGGAAACCCCAUGAGUGAUUGCUUGCCUGCAUCUCAAGAGAAAAAACAAGGUAAAUCUGGCACUUAGAGAUGCAAAGGGAAAAUCAGUUCAAGCAAGAACCAGAAGGUCAACUGCCCAGUAAGUCUCUGUGAUCUGAGACCUGGAGGUUACCAUAUGAAGGCGUUGAAACCACAACAACGUUGGUGGAGAUUUCUAAGCUAUGAUAUUUUGCAGGAGCAGAUUUCAUUUAAAAUGUCAGUUCCUGAUGGUCAUGUCCAAUGUCCUAUAACAACCAGUACAACCCUGAUUAUUAUUAUUUUAAAUGUAGGGUAGAGUCCAUGUAACUAAGUAUAUCAACCCAAGGUUACAUUCAGUGGAACAAAAGGGAGGGGGGGAAGAGUUAAUUUCUUCUAGCCAUCUGCCCAAAUCUACUCUUUAAAAAAAAUUAUUAAAGUUUUCAUAAAAUAUACAGCAAAAGAGUGAGAACAAGUUUCUUAAAGAAAAUAAGAAAGGUGAGAAAGAUAGUGGUAGAAAGAACCCUCC